Molecule: ribosomal RNA, 465 nt
Filed under: Vreelandella stevensii
Lineage: Bacteria; Pseudomonadati; Pseudomonadota; Gammaproteobacteria; Oceanospirillales; Halomonadaceae
Description: partial 16S ribosomal RNA
Rfam family: Bacterial small subunit ribosomal RNA
Source: RNAcentral
CCUAUGUGUUGCAUCCGUGGGGAAUAUUGGACAAUGGGGGCAACCCUGAUCCAGCCAUGCCGCGUGUGUGAAGAAGGCCCUCGGGUUGUAAAGCACUUUCAGUGAGGAAGAACGCCUGGUGGUUAAUACCCAUCAGGAAAGACAUCACUCACAGAAGAAGCACCGGCUAACUCCGUGCCAGCAGCCGCGGUAAUACGGAGGGUGCGAGCGUUAAUCGGAAUUACUGGGCGUAAAGCGCGCGUAGGUGGCUUGAUAAGCCGGUUGUGAAAGCCCCGGGCUCAACCUGGGAACGGCAUCCGGAACUGUCAAGCUAGAGUGCAGGAGAGGAAGGUAGAAUUCCCGGUGUAGCGGUGAAAUGCGUAGAGAUCGGGAGGAAUACCAGUGGCGAAGGCGGCCUUCUGGACUGACACUGACACUGAGGUGCGAAAGCGUGGGUAGCAAACAGGAUUAGAUACCCCAGUAGUC